Molecule: long non-coding RNA, 2570 nt
Organism: Equus caballus (horse)
Lineage: Eukaryota; Metazoa; Chordata; Mammalia; Perissodactyla; Equidae
Source: Ensembl
GUUCCCAGUCUCAGUAUUGAGAUGGGUGGAGCAUGCAAAGCUCCUUCUUGAAGAUCUUUAUCUGCACAAGUGAAAGCAAAAGCGCUGUUUCCCAGGACACGGGAAAAAUACCCUUCAAACGUUGGCUUCAAAUUGGGAGUGUGGAGAAUAUUCCUAGGACCCCGAAGCAGGUUGGGUUAGGGCCAGCCAUUACUUUUCUCAGCCCAAAUUAGUCCCAGGAGGAUACCGUCUGCGAACCCUCAUCAGCCCAAACACUCUGGGAAGGGAACGUUUCUGCCCCGCUUGAGUAACAGAAAGCAGGGACUAGGAUAUCCAUGACGCCCAGGACCCAGCCCAGUCCUUCCCUCGCCGCAGUCUGUACGCAACCCUGAACUCCCAGGAACCCUCCACUUUCAUCCACUGGCCUCAUGUAGCCCAGUCACUCGCAAAUGUACACGCAAGCAUGACACGGGAACACAAUUUCCAUGGUUUAUUUUGCAAACUGGCACUUUAAAUUCCCUCAAUUGAAAUGCUCGAGUACACGCUGGCCUUAUGGCCGGAUUUUGGAAACACAUGCUAUGGUAUAUCUUGCAGAAUGUAAGACUCUUAAGGUAAGUCAAGAGUGGUCCCUACACAUUUCCGUUUGGUGGCACGGGGAAAUGCAAAGGACAGGACACGGCCUCUUGGAUUCUACGGGAGGAAAAAACUCAGCUCAGGGCUGAACUGAGAUCCUUGGUCACUGACCAUCUAUCUCCCCUGGAUGGUACAAAGUCCCUAUCAGGGCAAACUAGAGACAGGGGAGAUGAGAUGGUCGUCACCUCAGAUGAGGGCACGCUGGAGCCUGGAGAUGCACUGGAAGCUGUGGCUCCAGUCCGGCAUCUGUGGAUGAAAAGUGCGGGAACAGUGGAGCCGAACUGUUAUUGUAGCUCUCAAAACUCCUCGUUUCCCAAACCAGCUCCUGAGAUGCUCUCCUCAAACGGGGACACACAAAAUGAAAGCACUUUCCUGUCACGAACACGGCAAGCGCCCCCAUUUUGAGUCUCACAGCCUGAGCGCUUGGAACCGGUUCCUGGUUGUAGAAGGAGCUGAAGACCUUUGAACCCUCACGAGGUGAGGGUUCCACUCAAGAGUUGGAUUCUAGAAAUUGCUAUAGAUUUACUCAUGCCAACAAGUAGAAAUCAUGACACUAUCGACCCAGGGCCACAGAAACCUUUCUAAAGACAGGGAAGGAAAGCACGUCAGUUGCACGGUUUUGUGCAAACGGCUCUGUGGUUCGAGCUGGUACCGACCUUCCAUUCCCCAUUUCAGAGUCUCUCCCCAUCAGCAAGCACUUCGGCUGUGUGACUGCGGUGGCGAGUCCAGGCAUCCCUCAAGUGCACGAGCCUUUUGCAGUGUUACCUGGAGUCUCCAGCCAGCCUUCCGGCAUCUUAGAGGACAACAUCCAUGCUGAACAAACCAUUUCCUGUUCCUGACAAAUUUCCCCAUGGCUAUCAGGAUGCCAGAGAUUGAUAACCCCUGACAAAGUCACCACAGCAGGGUAGUGAUAUUCUAGAACAGCUUGGGUUCCGUGGAGGGUGCCCACCGGCGACACUCAAAUGUCGCAGCACUUUCCAUCCCGAUGUUCGAAGAGUGCUUCCACAUUUGAGUCCCGCAGGCUGAGCAGCUGACCCGGGACCUUUGCCCAGAGGAAGCCUGGACUGGACACGGCCAGAUCCAAGCCCUGUCCUAGCUACCCCAAUGCUUGGCAAGGACCAUUUAGCAUCUGCCAACUAGAAGGUACUUUCUCAACCGGUAACACUCAAAAAAUGGCGGCACUUCCCUACGUAGCACAGAAAGUGCCCCCACAGUUUGAGUAGCACAAGUUGAGUAAUUCCACACAAGAGACUCCCCAUCGCCGACUGAAGGACUUACCAGACAAAGGAACGCUUGCAAAUGAUUACCGUAAAUCUGCCUUAAUCCUAAAAUAGGGAGACUGGAAAAGGUUAAAAGAAAAUUCGAUCAUGGAAAUUAGGCUCACAUUCAUCACCACCAUAGGUAACAGAAAAGAAAGACUUUCCAGCGGAUAAUGAGAUUUCACUGCAUAUACCCACGUCACCAAACUAAGAACUUAAAUUACCGCUUUGGUUUGGUUACCUGGAGCCUAUCACGUGACUCCGUUUGGCGCCUGUUUUGUUUCGACGUGCCAAACCAGAGAAAAAUGGCUGACUCAAAAGACGUACCUCGUUAUUACCCCACGAAGCACGUAGGAAGACUAAGGGUUCCUUCGCCCCUCAAGGUAUCCUUGGAAAGAGAACCCGACGCCACCCAGGAGCUUCUGGAUGCAGGAAGCCGAGACAGCGGUGCAGAGAGCCGUUUGCAUAUAGGAGUUUGUAACACGUUAGAUGACGGGAGUUCAGAGUGAAAUGAGGUGUGAGGGAGGAAAGCAUUGAAUGAAAUUUCAGAAGCCAGAAAGCGCAAGGAAACCUCUUAAGGAUGGAGGUAAAGGAGAUACCAUGCGGACGAUACUUACGCAGUGCGCGGAGGGAAAAACUUGAGGUCCCACCGCGUCUCUUUCCUGGCAAGGAAGAAACGAGCGCUGCUGGGCUCUUAUA